This 253-nucleotide ribosomal RNA is filed under the name uncultured bacterium. RNAcentral's name for it is "partial 16S ribosomal RNA". It matches the Rfam family "Bacterial small subunit ribosomal RNA", at positions 524 to 776 of the family's 1533-position model. The record is from RNAcentral.
UACAGAGGGUGCAAGCGUUAAUCGGAAUUACUGGGCGUAAAGCGUGCGCAGGCGGUGAUGUAAGACAGGUGUGAAAUCCCCGGGCUUAACCUGGGAACUGCAUUUGUGACUGGCGAGCUAGAGUACGGAAGAGGCGAGUGGAAUUCCUGGUGUAGCGGUGGAAUGCGCAGAUAUCAGGAGGAACACCAAUAGCGAAGGCAGCUCGCUGGGACGGUACUGACACUGAGGCGCGAAAGCGUGGGGAGCAAACAGG